RNAcentral lists this ribosomal RNA (253 nucleotides) under uncultured bacterium. RNAcentral describes it as "partial 16S ribosomal RNA". It matches the Rfam family "Bacterial small subunit ribosomal RNA", at positions 524 to 776 of the family's 1533-position model. The record is from RNAcentral.
UACGGGGGGGGCAAGCGUUGUUCGGAAUUAUUGGGCGUAAAGGGCUCGUAGGCGGCCAACUAAGUCGGAUGUGAAAUCCCCAGGCUUAACCUGGGAACUGCAUCCGAUACUGGAUGGCUUGAAUCCGGGAGAGGGAUGCAGAAUUCCAGGUGUAGCGGUGAAAUGCGUAGAUAUCUGGAGGAAUACCGGUGGCGAAGGCGGCAUCCUGGACCGGCAUUGACGCUGAUGAGCGAAAGCUAGGGGAGCAAACGGG